RNAcentral lists this ribosomal RNA (274 nucleotides) under uncultured bacterium. RNAcentral's name for it is "partial 16S ribosomal RNA". It matches the Rfam family "Bacterial small subunit ribosomal RNA", at positions 523 to 796 of the family's 1533-position model. The record is from RNAcentral.
AUACGGAGGGUGCAAGCGUUGUUCGGAAUUAUUGGGCGUAAAGCGCGUGUAGGCGGCUUGGUAAGUCAGGUGUGAAAGCCCUUAGCUCAACUAAGGAAAGUCAUCUGAAACUGCCAGGCUUGAGUACGGGAGAGGAGAGUGGAAUUCCCGGUGUAGAGGUGAAAUUCGUAGAUAUCGGGAGGAACACCCGUGGCGAAGGCGACUCUCUGGACCGAUACUGACGCUGAGACGCGAAAGCGUGGGGAGCAAACAGGAUUAGAUACCCCAGUAGUCC